AAGCAUUUUUGGGCCCCUCCCUGCACCAGGCACAGUGCCCUGGUGGUGAACACCUCCCGACUCACCCGCCCUCCCAGGAAGUUGACCUGCCUGGGCCUGCCCUCUGAUCUCACCCCUUCAUCGAGAGCGGGCAUGACCGUUCCCAUUUCACGGACGAGGAGACUGAGGCCAGAGAGAGAAAGAGAGCAGGGCCCUGUUACUCCAGAUGGGUGGCUGCCCCACAGGUCUCAGGGCAGAUGCUCUAAGAGGGGGUAGGUGGUGACUGGGGUGUGGCCAGUCCCACCAGAGAUCUGCCUGCCCCAGACCUCAUAACCCCAGGCUUUUCUAUGAAAAGCUCCCUGUGAAGCUGGGCCCAGCUGCACUCCAAUCCUCUUGCCCUGACCUUCUCUGAGCCUCAGUUUUCUCGUCUUGGCAAUGGAGAUGUUUGUUCGAAAGACCGUCCACCUCCCUCCCCUUUGGCAGCACACGUGGCCUUAUCUGCGGGCCCAUCUCACACCAGGCCUGUGGGACCGGAAGGGGGUUGCAGGGCCACUGAGCCAGUGCCUCGCAGAGGCUGAGUCCCCUUCUCAGGCCUGAAGACCCCAGAGACUGGAAGCCCCAAGCGCAGCUGCCCCACCAGUGCCCCACAUGCAGCCUGCUCUCCUCCCGGCUCCUGGGCCCCCGGGGAGCUGUUUGCAGUCAGGAUUCCUUCCUCCUCUGUCUGCCAGCGCUGGGCUGUGGGGCCAGACUGCCCGCUCCAAUUCCCCCUGGACACUGGGUCUGUUGUUUAACCUCUCUGGGCUUCCCUUACCUAAGCUGGAAAGUGGAUUAAGUGGGUUAAAUGGAUUAAAUUGUAAACUGUUUACAAAUGCUGUCUGGCACGCAGAAG
This 868-nucleotide long non-coding RNA is filed under the name Equus caballus (horse). RNAcentral describes it as "lncRNA (ENSECAG00000050459.1)". Lineage: Eukaryota; Metazoa; Chordata; Mammalia; Perissodactyla; Equidae. The record is from RNAcentral.